Molecule: non-coding RNA, 113 nt
Organism: Acanthosepion pharaonis
Lineage: Eukaryota; Metazoa; Mollusca; Cephalopoda; Sepiida; Sepiidae
Source: the annotation of a GenBank genome assembly
UUACGGCCAUAUCUCGAUGAAACAUCGGUUCCCGUACGAUCACCGAAGUUAAGCAACGUCGUGCCUGAUAAUACCUAAAUGGAUGAUCGCUUGGGAAUACGAGGUGCUGUAAG